RNAcentral lists this ribosomal RNA (731 nucleotides) under Bacillus sp. CR28. RNAcentral describes it as "bacterial SSU rRNA". It matches the Rfam family "Bacterial small subunit ribosomal RNA", at positions 378 to 1100 of the family's 1533-position model. The record is from RNAcentral. Lineage: Bacteria; Bacillati; Bacillota; Bacilli; Caryophanales; Bacillaceae.
AAAGUCUGACGGAGCAACGCCGCGUGAGUGAUGAAGGUUUUCGGAUCGUAAAGCUCUGUUGUUAGGGAAGAACAAGUGCAAGAGUAACUGCUUGCACCUUGACGGUACCUAACCAGAAAGCCACGGCUAACUACGUGCCAGCAGCCGCGGUAAUACGUAGGUGGCAAGCGUUGUCCGGAAUUAUUGGGCGUAAAGGGCUCGCAGGCGGUUUCUUAAGUCUGAUGUGAAAGCCCCCGGCUCAACCGGGGAGGGUCAUUGGAAACUGGGAAACUUGAGUGCAGAAGAGGAGAGUGGAAUUCCACGUGUAGCGGUGAAAUGCGUAGAGAUGUGGAGGAACACCAGUGGCGAAGGCGACUCUCUGGUCUGUAACUGACGCUGAGGAGCGAAAGCGUGGGGAGCGAACAGGAUUAGAUACCCUGGUAGUCCACGCCGUAAACGAUGAGUGCUAAGUGUUAGGGGGUUUCCGCCCCUUAGUGCUGCAGCUAACGCAUUAAGCACUCCGCCUGGGGAGUACGGUCGCAAGACUGAAACUCAAAGGAAUUGACGGGGGCCCGCACAAGCGGUGGAGCAUGUGGUUUAAUUCGAAGCAACGCGAAGAACCUUACCAGGUCUUGACAUCCUCUGACAACCCUAGAGAUAGGGCUUUCCCUUCGGGGACAGAGUGACAGGUGGUGCAUGGUUGUCGUCAGCUCGUGUCGUGAGAUGUUGGGUUAAGUCCCGCAACGAGCGCA